This is a long non-coding RNA of Macrosteles quadrilineatus (aster leafhopper), 336 nucleotides long. RefSeq lists it as uncharacterized. The record is from RefSeq and is a predicted model, not a curated record. The transcript is spliced from 2 exons. Lineage: Eukaryota; Metazoa; Arthropoda; Insecta; Hemiptera; Cicadellidae.
GACUCCAGCAAUAUACAAUACUAUAUUUAUCCUGUCCGCAAUUCCAAAUUCUGUUACUUCUACUACAGAUGCAUUGUUUCUGAAGGAGUUGAAGGUACGGGUGAACCGAUGCUGGCAUUAUAUGUAAAAUGUGGUUACCAAAACAAUCCAUGGGCCAAAAAGGAAAUUGAUACAUUUUUGAGAUGUGCAGAAAAGUUAAACGUACAUAACAUAGUCCAAAUCACACCCUGUUACUGCGAAAGUGAUGAGGACUCAAGUUACUCAUCAAGUUAGUUAAUAACUUAUGUGGUUGACCUAGUUAUUCCUUUGAAUAAAAAUGAUUUUCUGUUGCAUAAA